AUGCUCACUUUGGCAGCACACAUAUUAAAAAUUGGAAUGAUAGAGAAGAUUGGCACGGCCCUAAACAAGAAUGGCAUUCAAAUUCAUGAAGCAUUCCAUACUUUU
This 105-nucleotide small nuclear RNA is filed under the name Sciurus vulgaris (Eurasian red squirrel). The record is from RNAcentral. Lineage: Eukaryota; Metazoa; Chordata; Mammalia; Rodentia; Sciuridae.